GCCCACCACGCCGGCAUCCAUGAAUUUCUUCGAACAAAUACAGGUGUGGAUGGCCAGAAGAACGCAAAUGCUAUGGAUCCCGAUGAUUUCCAGAGGUACUGCAUAGAAGGCGCCAUGGCGAUCCUGGGCUCCAUGUUGCUUGGGAUGGUAUUCUUUUGUGCCAUCUGUAUGUGGAGGAGGAGAAGACGGCGCCUCGCUGCAGCUUCAUGAGCCUGGCCCAACA
Molecule: long non-coding RNA, 223 nt
Organism: Grus americana (Whooping crane)
Lineage: Eukaryota; Metazoa; Chordata; Aves; Gruiformes; Gruidae
Exons: 3
Source: RefSeq, a predicted model, not a curated record